Acanthosepion pharaonis is the source of this 86-nucleotide non-coding RNA. Lineage: Eukaryota; Metazoa; Mollusca; Cephalopoda; Sepiida; Sepiidae. The record is from the annotation of a GenBank genome assembly.
UUCCCCUAAGUUCACUGGAGUUAAGCAAUGUUGAGUCUGGUCAGUACCUAGAUGGGUGAACGCUUGGGAAUACCAGGUGCUGUAAG